Molecule: ribosomal RNA, 497 nt
Filed under: uncultured bacterium
Lineage: Bacteria
Description: bacterial SSU rRNA
Rfam family: Bacterial small subunit ribosomal RNA
Source: RNAcentral
UGGGGAAUCUUGCGCAAUGGGCGAAAGCCUGACGCAGCCAUGCCGCGUGAAUGAUGAAGGUCUUAGGAUUGUAAAAUUCUUUCACCGGGGACGAUAAUGACGGUACCCGGAGAAGAAGCUCCGGCUAACUUCGUGCCAGCAGCCGCGGUAAUACGAAGGGGGCUAGCGUUGCUCGGAAUUACUGGGCGUAAAGGGCGCGUAGGCGGACGGCUUAGUCAGAGGUGAAAGCCCAGGGCUCAACCUUGGAAUUGCCUUUGAUACUGGCCAUCUUGAGUACGGGAGAGGUGUGUGGAACUCCGAGUGUAGAGGUGAAAUUCGUAGAUAUUCGGAAGAACACCAGUGGCGAAGGCGACACACUGGCCCGUUACUGACGCUGAGGCGCGAAAGCGUGGGGAGCAAACAGGAUUAGAUACCCUGGUAGUCCACGCUGUAAACGAUGAGAGCUAGUUGUCGGCAUGCAUGCAUGUCGGUGACGCAGCUAACGCAUUAAGCUCUCC